CGGGGGCCCGCACAAGCAGUGGAGUAUGUGGUUUAAUUCGAAGCAACGCGAAGAACCUUACCAGGGCUUGACAUCCCUUGAAGCAGCUAGAGAUAGCUGUGUCCUUCGGGACAAGGAGACAGGUGGUGCAUGGUUGUCGUCAGCUCGUGUCGUGAGAUGUUGGGUUAAGUCCCGGCAACGAGCGCAACCCUCGACCUUAGUUGCCAGCAUUCAGUUGGGCACUCUAAGGUGACUGCCGGCUAAAAGUCGGAGGAAGGUGGGGAUGACGUCAAAUCAUCAUGCCCCUUAUGACCUGGGCUACACACGUGCUACAAUGGGCGGUACAACGAGUUGCGAGUCGGUGACGGCGAGCUAAUCUCUUAAAGCCAAUCUCAGUUCGGAUUGUAGGCUGCAACUCGCCUACAUGAAGUCGGAAUCGCUAGUAAUCGCGGAUCAGCACGCCCGCGGUCCGAAUACGUUCCGGGCCUU
RNAcentral lists this ribosomal RNA (468 nucleotides) under uncultured Streptococcus sp. RNAcentral's name for it is "bacterial SSU rRNA". It matches the Rfam family "Bacterial small subunit ribosomal RNA", at positions 914 to 1382 of the family's 1533-position model. The record is from RNAcentral. Lineage: Bacteria; Bacillati; Bacillota; Bacilli; Lactobacillales; Streptococcaceae.